CACCGCGGUCCAGCAGUGGGGGGCCCCGGGCUGGGCGAGGGGGCACAGGCUCGUGACCUCCAGGCUCCUCCUUCUGGGGAAAAGGGUGACCGCGUUCUCCAGCCACCCCUGCUUCCCUGGGAAACAGAUCCAGAGAGGGAGGAGGACCGGCCAAGGUCACACAGGAGUUUGGACCAGAGCUCCGGGAGCCCCCUGCCCUCGGCCCGGGGCCAUCCCGAAUCCCCAGGCGGGGCGGCUUCGGCGCCCACGUGGCCCAAGGCCCGGGCGAGAAUCCGACUCCCCCUUCCCCCUCAGAACCCAGCCCGAGGGCGGCGCCGUCCCGGGCGCAGGGAAGCGCCCCCCUCCGCCCGGGCCGAGCAGGACCUCAGCCUCGCGCGCCGGCGCCCCCACCCCAGGAAUUUAACCCCCUCCCUGCCGAGCGCCGCGCCACGGCGCCGCAUUCCUGGCCCGCGGGAACCCUGCAGUUGGGGACGCAAGGACGGGGGCGAGGCGAAGAUCCCCGCAGCCCCUCCCCCCGAGCCGGCAGGCCGUGCGCUCCUGGGGGCAGAGCUGGCAGGAAGUUCGUCCGGGAGUCUAACCUCGGUGCCCCCAGGCUGCGCCACGGAGGCGGGGCCCGGGUAGGAGGCCGCGGGGAAAUCGGAAAGCGGGGUGUUCCGGCCCCUGCAGCCUGCUGCGGAAAAGGCUUCCCGCCGGCCGCUCGGAGCGAGCGCAUCGCAAGGGACUGAACCCGGCCAUGCUCUCCACCCCAGUCCUCUGGCCUCCGCCGCUCUGACCUGGGGUGCACUUCCUCCUCUGACUCACCAUGGCUCCUGGCAUUGGCUUGCAAGGUGGUGAGGGAGGGACUCGGUGCCCAUUGGCUGGACAGGGACACUGAGGCCCAGAGCGGGACAGAUCACUCAGUCCGGCAUCGGCAUCAGGAGCCAGGGAAAAGGAAAUCUUGGCGAAAGAGAUGCCGCCUCCGAGGGCUGCCGGGAGCACUCCUGGGCCCACUUGCCAACAAAGCUGGCCGGUGAGACCAAGCCCAUCGACGGAAGAGCUCCCUGUGCAGAGCCCGAGCUCCCAGAAGCACCUGCCAUAGUGGAUCCAGCAGGAAGGAGCUGUUGGAGGCCCUCAUUCUAGUGGACCCUAGUGGGGCUGCUGGGAGCUCAGACCGGAAUGUUAACAUCAGCGAGAGCAGAGGGAGAGGAAGGCUCUCCGGGCAGACAGUGGCAGCUGCAUCGGCCAGGAGGUGAGGCUCUAUGGCACCUGCAGGGAACUGGAGGUGAUGGCAGGUAGAGCAGAGAUGGUGUCCCAGGGCCAGUGUGGUUGGUGGGAGUAGCCAGGAGACGGCAGAACUGCUAUUGGCGAGGGACACACAGUGGGAACUACACCUCUGGGGAGAUCCAGGCAGGGUUCCUUGAGGGGCAGAUGGGAUUGGGAGGGUUUUCUAGGCCAGAGCUGCCUGCCCCAGAGUGAGUCAGGAGUUUGUCAAGGUACUGCCCUGGCAAGGCGGAGCUCACUGAUCCUUGGGACACUCGGGACUGGGGGCUGGCCAGGUCUGCUCCUGCCCCUGGAGGCCAGCUGUUUUUUUCCCCCCACAACUUUCUGGUCUGUUUAGCUCCACGGACCCACACUGUGCUGAGGGUGUCCCCCGACUGGGGAAGUGAGAUUCACCUCCACUGAACCUGGAAAGAGCAGAGCAGACAGGUGUGUGUCAGGCAGAGCACGGGGCAGGACCCGGCUUCCCUGGGGGCCAUGGAGCUGUGUGUAACUGAGCUGGGGGAGGAAGAGAGCAGCAGGUACAGGGCCAGGCAGCUCCCCCAGCGUGGGGUCCACAGCCACCCAGUAGGUGCUGACGCGGCUCCCUGUGGAGAGAGAGAGCACAGAUCUGCUGGGUGCGGGUUGCGGCGGGAGUGGGCAUUGCAGCUGCGUGCGUCCUGCCUCUGCUAAGCCCAGCACUAAUAGACUGCAGCUGCCCUUGGGUGGGGGCCUAAUGCAAACCAGCAGGUUGCCUGGUUCCCUCUCCCAGUGCAAAAAAGUCUUGGCAUUGGAGGCCUCCCUGGCAGCUUCUAGGAUCUGCUCCCACCCUGUUGGUUCAAUGGACCCUGGGCCCCUCACUAGUGACUGAGCCUGGCCCUCCACAUGAAUCCUGGGGGGCUCCUUUCCUCCUCCUAGGGGCCACCACCCCAAACUACUCUGCCAUGUUUGGUUCUAAGCACUAAAUCCACCAUGCUUCCAGGAGGGAGGAGUCCCUAGCACCCCGCGUUUCAGAUGAGGGGCUCAGUUAUAGAGAGGUUAAGCAAAUUGCCUUACUCUUGUUACCCAACUGGGACGUAGCAGGGUCAACUUGAACCCAAGCAGUCUGGCUGUGGCCCUCUGCCCAAAAGUCUUAUUUUUUCCAAAGUAAAAUCAAAUUAGGCAGGGGACAAGGUCAGCGGGUCUUUGUUGGGAUGCCUUUGGGCACCUGGCCUGUAACAGAUUUUAGUUGCCAGACGCCCUGAGGCUGGGCCAGGCCCUCUGGGAGGUAGCCUCAUCUCUAGGCUGGUCUUGGAAGGGAUGGGCACCCAGGGUCAUCUAUCUUAUCUGGUUGCCCCAGUCACAUGUGCCUCCUUGCUGGGCCAGUGAGCUAAGUGGACAGUCUGACUUACUGGCCACACUGGAGCAUGGCGGGCACAAUGUGUCCACUCUAUUGUACGCUGAUGGCCUCGUGGAUCUAGGAUGGCUGCAGAUGACCCCUCUCUGGGCUAGCCUGGGUUCUGCAGCUGUGAAUGCAGCUCAGCAAAUGAAGCUGGAGCUUUGAAGGACUAUGUGGAUGGUGCAUAGUGAGGCUGGGGUCUCCAGGAGGCCCAAGUGCUUGUCCACAGCCCCAGACUUGGCGCCCACCAGGGGCCUUCCGUCUCGGGGAGCACAGCCUCUGCCUUGCACCGAGCCCUUGCAAGACUGGUGUGCACACGGCACACAGGUGUGUGAACACGUGUUCUCUCCGGGCCCAGCACUCCCACAGCUCUCUCCUUUCCCUGGGCGGCAGCAGAAGCGAUUCCUUGUGCUAUAGUCCGGUCCUCUCUGCCUUGGGAGGGGUGGCCGAACCCUGGCUGCUCCCAGUGGCAAGGCCAUCUUCAGUCUCUUGCAAGGGUGUUUUCCUUAACUAUUAUUUCCUCCAUAAUGCCUAGAUCAUUCACCAAAGUCAAGACCACGGCCCCUGACACAUUGCAUUCGGUAUUGCCCCAGCUCAUCAGUAUCACAAUAAUGCUCAGGAUCCUAGCACUCACUGGGAAAUAAGGAACUUCAUCAGGGGAUUUCCUCAUGGCAAAGACUGGCGUCAUCUUAGAGUCUAUAUGUUAAGGGCCAGCGCUGUGCAGUAGUCUAAGCCUCCGCCUGUGGUGCUGGCAUCCCAUAUGGGUGCCGGUUCAUAAAUUUUAAAAAAAAGUUAAAAUUGUAUUUUUUAAGACUGAUUUACUUGAAAGGCAGAGCAAGAGAUACAUUCCAUCUGCUGGUUCACUCCUCAAAUGGCCACAAUGGCUCAGGUUGAAGCCAAGAGCCCAGAACUCCAUCCUGGCUUUCCAGGUGAUAUGGGCCCACAUACUUGGGCCAUCAUCUACUGCCUUCCCAGGCAAGUUAGCAGGAAGCUGGAUUGGAAGAGGAACAGCCGGGCCUUGAACCAGCACUCUGAUAUAGGAUGCCAGUGUUGCAAGCGAUGGCUUAAUCCACUGUGCCACAAAACCAGCCCUGGCUGCGUUCACUAAGAGAAGACACACUCCUUUGAGCCCAAGGAGACAAAAGUUCACUGUAUUUGCUCGGCAAGCUCUCAUGUGCAUGCUAAAAAUACCGCCCCAGUGUUGUCUCUGGGGUGAGUGACGUGUGCCUGGUGAGGUGCCAUCAGGCGUGGAAGAGGAGCCUGGCAAAUUAAUUGACUGUCCCUCGGCAGCAGCUCACAGAUGGGAAGGGACCUGGUCCUCCCUCAAGAGAAACCUGGAUGCAGGUCACAUCAGCAGGUGCCAACAAAGCCUGCAGGAAAGCUGGUGCCCAGGGGCAGGAGGCCCAGGCGCCAUUAGUGCUCAUCGUGUAGGCUCCCAGCCCUGCCUUCCCCCGCCACUGACACUGAGCUAGACAGGAGGCCUCUCCAUGGGCUGGGUCGGCAAAGAACCCUAUGUGGGUUCUGCCGCUUCAAAAAGACUAUUCGAAGUGUGGAUGAUUAAAGAAAAAUGAAACAUGCAAAGAGUUGGACCAAAUACUUUAAUUUCUACAAGGUCCCCUUUCAAGUCUUGGGGAAGCUGAAGUGAAGUGUAUACAAAGUAGACAUUGCUAAUAUGUACGAAAGUAUUUUCUAGUUUUCGAACAAUACCGGCUAUUUCAUCAGUAAACAGGACAUUACAAAAACAGUCCAAUAAUGCAUUUUCUAUUAAGCACAAUACACAACAUAAUUCAGUUUUAUUAAAAAAUAACUUCACAAUGCAGAACAAUCGCCUUUUGGAAGAAGCUGUUCCUGCAGUUCAUGUCAGUCAACACAAGUGGCCGCUGCAGCUGAGGGCCAGCCUUCCCCGCUGCAGAAACAAAGAGGCUUCCAGGGCCGUCCUUUUCAGGGUGAGGUCCCAGGACAGCCGAGAUGAGCACAGGUAGUUACUGCCUGUGGAGAAUUCUGCAGUUUUCCCUCACCCGCCCACGCACUAAUCCCCAGAACCUAUGAGAAUGAUGAGCUCUCUUUCCCGCAAUUACGUUCUGUUCUAUGGCACGACUGACCUCUGUGGGUUUGAUCUAAUGGCAUGGACCCUGAAAACAGAGAGGGAAGGGAUCUGCCGCAUGAGAAAGAGCAGGGCUGGAGGGGAGCCCUCCAGCAGGGAUGCAGGCAGCUUUGAGGGGCCCAGAACCGCCCCGCACCCCAACUUCCAGCCAGCAGAGAACUAAGUUCUGCCAGCGACCUGAAUGAGUCCGGAAACCGAUCCUUGCCCAGUGCCUCCAUAAAGGAAUGCUACCCGCCAACCCUGGAUUUCCACCCUGUGGGACCCUGAGCAGAGGGACUCCAGCCAUCCCAUGCCAGACCCAAGAGCUACACAACUGGGAGCUAAUAAAUGGGUGGUGUUCUGAACUGUUGCACUUUGGGUAAUUCCUCACAGAGCAACAAAAAGCUAAUGCACUGCCCAGGGGUAACGUAGCUAACCUGAUUAGAUUCGGCGUGUUCUGUUUGGGUUCUCAACACC
This is a non-coding RNA of Oryctolagus cuniculus (rabbit), 5174 nucleotides long. NCBI's taxonomy places the organism in Eukaryota, Metazoa, Chordata, Mammalia, Lagomorpha, Leporidae. The record is from RefSeq and is a predicted model, not a curated record.